AGUGUCCCGGCCCGGCUGAUCAUUCCGCACCCGCCCCAGCGGUUCCUGCCGACACGACGGAGGCAUCUGCUCAUAAUCCGUGAGUCGUGGGUUCAAGUCCCACCCGCCCUACCA
RNAcentral lists this transfer RNA (114 nucleotides) under Nonomuraea jabiensis. RNAcentral describes it as "tRNA-OTHER". Lineage: Bacteria; Bacillati; Actinomycetota; Actinomycetes; Streptosporangiales; Streptosporangiaceae. The record is from RNAcentral.